Molecule: ribosomal RNA, 406 nt
Filed under: uncultured bacterium
Lineage: Bacteria
Description: partial 16S ribosomal RNA
Rfam family: Bacterial small subunit ribosomal RNA
Source: RNAcentral
AUUGAACGCUGGCGGCAGGCCUAACACAUGCAAGUCGAACGAGUGGCGGACGGGUGAGUAAUGUCUGGGAAACUGCCUGAUGGAGGGGGAUACCUACUGGAAACGGUAGCUAAUACCGCAUACCAUCGGAUGUGCCCCGAUGGGAUUAGCUAGUAGUUGGGGUAACGGCUCACCUAGGCGACGCUCCCUAGCUGGUCUGAGAGGAUGACCAGCCACACAGGAACUGAGACACGGUCCAGACUCCUACGGGAGGAAGCAGUGGGGAAUAUUGCACAAUGGGCUCAAGCCGGAUGCAGCCAUGCCGAGUGUAUGAAGAAGGCCUUCGGGUUGUAAAGUCCUUUCAACGGAGAGGCGUUACCCGCAGAAGAAGCACCGGCUAACUACGUGCCAGCAGCCGCGGUAAUAC